GUGUAUCUAGGAUUAACAU
This 19-nucleotide ribosomal RNA is filed under the name Ceylonthelphusa cavatrix. RNAcentral's name for it is "partial 12S ribosomal RNA". The record is from RNAcentral. Lineage: Eukaryota; Metazoa; Arthropoda; Malacostraca; Decapoda; Parathelphusidae.